GACGAACGCUGGCGGCGUGCUUAACACAUGCAAGUCGAGCGGUAAGGCCCUUUCGGGGGUACACGAGCGGCGAACGGGUGAGUAACACGUGAGUAACCUACCCUCAACUCUGGGAUAAGCCCGGGAAACCGGGUCUAAUACCGGAUAUCACUUCUUGCCACAUGGUGGGGGGUUGAAAGUUCUGGCGGUUGGGGAUGGGCUCGCGGCCUAUCAGCUUGUUGGUGGGGUGAUGGCCUACCAAGGCGUCGACGGGUAGCCGGCCUGAGAGGGCGACCGGCCACACUGGGACUGAGACACGGCCCAGACUCCUACGGGAGGCAGCAGUGGGGAAUAUUGCGCAAUGGGCGGAAGCCUGACGCAGCAACGCCGCGUGAGGGAUGACGGCCUUCGGGUUGUAAACCUCUUUCAGCAGGGACGAAGCGAGAGUGACGGUACCUGCAGAAGAAGGACCGGCCAACUACGUGCCAGCAGCCGCGGUAAUACGUAGGGUCCGAGCGUUGUCCGGAAUUAUUGGGCGUAAAGAGCUCGUAGGCGGUUUGUCGCGUCGGCCGUGAAAACUUGGGGCUUAACCCCAAGCCUGCGGUCGAUACGGGCAGACUUGAGUUCGGCAGGGGAGACUGGAAUUCCUGGUGUAGCGGUGAAAUGCGCAGAUAUCAGGAGGAACACCGGUGGCGAAGGCGGGUCUCUGGGCCGACACUGACGCUGAGGAGCGAAAGCGUGGGGAGCGAACAGGAUUAGAUACCCUGGUAGUCCACGCCGUAAACGGUGGGUGCUAGGUGUGGGGG
RNAcentral lists this ribosomal RNA (785 nucleotides) under uncultured Actinomycetes bacterium. RNAcentral describes it as "bacterial SSU rRNA". It matches the Rfam family "Bacterial small subunit ribosomal RNA", at positions 28 to 828 of the family's 1533-position model. The record is from RNAcentral. Lineage: Bacteria; Bacillati; Actinomycetota; Actinomycetes.